UACGUAGGGUGCGAGCGUUGUCCGGAAUUAUUGGGCGUAAAGGGCUCGUAGGCGGUUUGUUGCGUCGGGAGUGAAAACUCAGGGCUUAACCCUGAGCCUGCUUCCGAUACGGGCAGACUUGAGGUAUGCAGGGGAGAACGGAAUUCCUGGUGUAGCGGUGAAAUGCGCAGAUAUCAGGAGGAACACCGGUGGCGAAGGCGGUUCUCUGGGCAUUACCUGACGCUGAGGAGCGAAAGUGUGGGGAGCGAACAGG
Molecule: ribosomal RNA, 253 nt
Filed under: uncultured bacterium
Lineage: Bacteria
Description: partial 16S ribosomal RNA
Rfam family: Bacterial small subunit ribosomal RNA
Source: RNAcentral